GACGUAGGAUGCAAGCGUUGUCCGGAUUUAUUGGGCGUAAAGAGUUCGUAGGCAGUUUAUUAAGUUUGGUGUUAAAUACUGAGGCUCAACCUCGGAAAUGCAUUGAAUACUGGUAGACUCGAGUACAGUAGAGGUUAGUGGAAUUCCCAGUGUAGCGGUGAAAUGCGUAGAUAUUGGGAAGAACACCGGUGGCGUAAGCGACUAACUGGGCUGUAACUGACGCUGAGGAACGAAAGCCAGGGGGAGCAAAUGGGGAUUAGAUACCCCCAGUAGUCCUGGCCGUAAACGAUGGGUACUAGGCGUAGCGGGUAUCAACCCCUGCUGUGCCGUAGCUAACGCGAUAAGUAUCCCGCCUGAGUAGUACGGCCGCAAGGUUGAAAC
This 381-nucleotide ribosomal RNA is filed under the name uncultured bacterium. Its description in RNAcentral is "bacterial SSU rRNA". It matches the Rfam family "Bacterial small subunit ribosomal RNA", at positions 524 to 900 of the family's 1533-position model. The record is from RNAcentral.